CCCCUCCAGAGAUGAAUGUUGUCGACCGCUCGCUUCUCUAGUUAUACCAACUUUAGUAACGACCGCAGGAUAGAAAUACAGAGAGCCACGCCCUCAACCAAAACGCCACUCUAUAGCCACAAAUAAUGCUCAGAACAGCACCUAACUUCAUCAACAGGACAUAUAGGGUCACAGACAUAGUACUAGACACCAAACAUCUUUUUAACUUUGACUCAUUUCUUUAGCAAAGAGACUAAACACAACUCACCUACUCUCUUCCAGCAGACGCUUGUUUGUAGUGAGACCUCAGGCCAGUCCAUUACAGACUACAGCGGGGUGCCGCAGCUCAAGGAAGAACAUUUAUGAUCAUUUCUUCAUGGAAAUACAAUCAGACCGAGACGCUAAGACAGAAGAACUACAGCGUCUGUAAAAUGAUUAAUAUGGUGAUUAUUACUUCAAGGAAAUGAUAAAGAAAUGAUCAAAAAUGUUCUUCCUUGAGUUGCGGCACCCCGCUGUAGUCCGUAAUGGACUGGCCUUUGGUCUUUGGUCUGGUUGAGGUUUGUUUAUGGCUCCUCAGACCUCUCUGUAUUUCUAUCCUGCGGUCGUUACUAAAGUUGGUAUAACUAGAGAAGAAAGCGGUC
Non-coding RNA from Xyrichtys novacula (pearly razorfish), 620 nucleotides. The record is from the annotation of a GenBank genome assembly. Lineage: Eukaryota; Metazoa; Chordata; Actinopteri; Labriformes; Labridae.